This 885-nucleotide ribosomal RNA is filed under the name uncultured archaeon. RNAcentral's name for it is "bacterial SSU rRNA". It matches the Rfam family "Archaeal small subunit ribosomal RNA", at positions 19 to 903 of the family's 1478-position model. The record is from RNAcentral.
AGAGGUUACUGCUAUCGGAGUUCGAUUAAGCCAUGCGAGUCUAAAGGUUUCUUCGGAAACCUUGGCGGACUGCUCAGUAACACGUGGAUAACCUACCCUUGGGACUGGAAUAACCCCGGGAAACUGGGGAUAAUACCGGAUAGAUCAGGGAUGCUGGAAUGCGCCUUGAUCUAAAGCUCCGGCGCCCAAGGAUGGGUCUGCGGCCUAUCAGGUAGUAGUGGGUGUAAUGUACCUACUAGCCAACGACGGGUACGGGUUGUGAGAGCAAGAGCCCGGAGAUGGAUUCUGAGACACGAAUCCAGGCCCUACGGGGUGCAGCAGGCGCGAAACCUUUACAAUGUGCGAAAGCAUGAUAAGGGAACUCCGAGUGCCAGUAUCUAAUACUGGCUGUCCUUGUGCCUAAAACGCACAAGAUAGCAAGGGCCGGGUAAGACCGGUGCCAGCCGCCGCGGUAACACCGGCGGCCCGAGUGGUAGCCGCUAUUAUUGGGUCUAAAGGGUCCGUAGCCGGUUCGAUAAGUCCUCUGGGAAAUCUGGUUGCUUAACAAUCAGACUGCCAAGGGAUACUGUCGAACUUGAGACCGGGAGAGGUAAGAGGUACUUCAGGGGUAGGAGUGAAAUCUUGUAAUCCCUGGGGGACCAUCUGUGGCGAAGGCGUCUUACCAGAACGGGUCUGACGGUGAGGGACGAAAGCUGGGGGCGCAAACCGGAUUAGAUACCCGGGUAGUCCCAGCCGUAAACGAUGCUCGCUAGGUGUCAGACACGGUGCGACCGUGUUUGGUGCCGCAGGGAAGCCGUUAAGCGAGCCACCUGGGAAGUACGGUCGCAAGGCUGAAACUUAAAGGAAUUGGCGGGGGAGCACUACAACGGGUGGAGCCUGCGGUUU